GAUAGGAGCAUAUUUAUGCACCUUAGUUAACUAGUUCUUAUGCAUUUUCGUUAUGUUUUCUUAGUUUAUUCUUUUAAGCUAGUUUCAUAUGUUUUUAGGUUUAAGGGCAUAUUACAUAAAAGGAUGCAAAUUGGAGCCUUUCGGAGCAAAAUGGAGCUUAGAUUGGAAAGUACAUGCUUGGAGCACAAGGAAUGGACGAGUUUGAAGGUCAAAGGAGCUUAAGAAAUGAAGAAAUGAAAGUGAAGAACAAAGAAUUCAGAAUUGGAAACCAAAGUUUCUAAAGUUGGAAGUUUCUAUUCUUGGAGGUUUCCAUUUUUGAGAGUUUCUAUCCUUGGCUUUGGGCUUUUAGAUGACCUAUCCUUUUCCCCUAACCCUAGCCGCACCUAGGCCUCUAGAAUAUCUGAUUUCCUUGCCUUGCAAGGCAUUCUAGAAGGCCCAUCUCUAACCCUAACCCUAGCCGCACCUUAGGCCUUAUUCCCACUAAAAAUCUAAUUGUUUUAACCUAAUUUCUGAUGGGUUUGGGUUUUAGAGGCCCUAAUCUGAUUGCCCUAGGGUUUUGGAUGCCUAUUUAUACACAUUCUAAACCCUUGGCCGAACACCAUCUCCCAUUCACAUCAUUCACGCCAGAUUUGUUCCUUGCUCUCUGCCGCACCUUUUCAUCACCAUAGUCCAUAAUUUCUGCCCAAAAACAACCCUAGCCGCACCACUCAUCAACCCUAAACCGUUCCCUACCAUUCCCCAUCCAUUCUAGACCCUAAAUACCACCCAAAACCUGUUCUAAACUUCUCUGCCGCAACAAGGAGGAAGGAGAAAUCGUUGAUGAUCUUGCUGCCAAGUUGGAGCGUUCUAGGUGUUUUCUUUCUUUGGAUUUUAAUUUCUAAUUUUAUGUAUCUUUGCUUUGUGAGUAUGAGGAACUAAAACCCCCCUUGGCUAGGGGGGGAUUCAAAACCAUGAUUAUAUAUGUGAAAUAAGUUGAUUCCUUUCAGUUAUCGUUGCAUAAGUCGUGAAUACAAUUUGCUUAACCGUUUGAUUUAGAACUUAUUCUUGUAUGUUGAUUGAGAGUGCACGCUUAAUUUGCAUGCUUGAAUUUGGUGCUAGGAUAUAAGUUUGUUUCACCUAAUCGUUAUGAAUUUAUAUUCGCAAGUAGUGAAGAUCGCUAGUCACGAUCGUGUUAAGUAGAUUCCUGGCAAGAGUAUCAUGCUUUUCAUAGUUACGAAUGCCUUGUCAAUGCUUAUGAUUUCCAAAGAACGUAAUGAUUCUAACUUGUAUCUUUAUCAUGCUGUUCAUAUAGAGAACUUGUU
Molecule: long non-coding RNA, 1301 nt
Filed under: Malus domestica (apple)
Lineage: Eukaryota; Viridiplantae; Streptophyta; Magnoliopsida; Rosales; Rosaceae
Description: long non-coding RNA (MDOM_LNC020689)
Source: RNAcentral